Molecule: long non-coding RNA, 210 nt
Filed under: Daucus carota (carrot)
Lineage: Eukaryota; Viridiplantae; Streptophyta; Magnoliopsida; Apiales; Apiaceae
Description: long non-coding RNA (DCAR_LNC007639)
Source: RNAcentral
AUUUAUUUUAUUUCAGGAAAUUGUAGAUAAAUAAAGAAAGAAGAGAAAAUGCAAGAAAAAGAAGAAAAGGGAAAAGAAAAGAAGAAAAAAAGAGAGUUGGCAACUAAGGGACACAUGGAGGGCCACAAUCUUCCCAACACUCAAGGCACAUGGAUGGUCAAGAUGGAGCCACCCUACCCCUAAACCCUAAUUCUUUAGUUAUAAAUACCC